AUAAAAACGAAUGAAAACAUCCAUAUAAUCCUGAUAAUAAGGUUCGGGAGUUUCUACUAGGAAACCUUAAAUUUCCUUUCUAUGGGUGAAUCUUGAAACUUU
This 102-nucleotide non-coding RNA is filed under the name Clostridium magnum. RNAcentral describes it as "Guanine sequence". It matches the Rfam family "Purine riboswitch aptamer". Rfam says of the family: Riboswitches are metabolite binding domains within certain messenger RNAs that serve as precision sensors for their corresponding targets. The record is from RNAcentral. Lineage: Bacteria; Bacillati; Bacillota; Clostridia; Eubacteriales; Clostridiaceae. RNAcentral also lists the same sequence under 1 other name.